RNAcentral lists this ribosomal RNA (617 nucleotides) under Salmonella enterica subsp. enterica serovar Enteritidis. RNAcentral's name for it is "partial 23S ribosomal RNA". It matches the Rfam family "Bacterial large subunit ribosomal RNA", at positions 590 to 1208 of the family's 2925-position model. The record is from RNAcentral. Lineage: Bacteria; Pseudomonadati; Pseudomonadota; Gammaproteobacteria; Enterobacterales; Enterobacteriaceae.
UGUGUGACUGCGUACCUUUUGUAUAAUGGGUCAGCGACUUAUAUUCUGUAGCAAGGUUAACCGAAUAGGGGAGCCGGAGGGAAACCGAGUCUUAAUUGGGCGUUAAGUUGCAGGGUAUAGACCCGAAACCCGGUGAUCUAGCCAUGGGCAGGUUGAAGGUUGGGUAACACUAACUGGAGGACCGAACCGACUAAUGUUGAAAAAUUAGCGGAUGACCUGUGGCUGGGGGUGAAAGGCCAAUCAAACCGGGAGAUAGCUGGUUCUCCCCGAAAGCUAUUUAGGUAGCGCCUCGUGAAUUCAUCUCCGGGGGUAGAGCACUGUUUCGGCUAGGGGGCCAUCCCGGCUUACCAACCCGAUGCAAACUGCGAAUACCGGAGAAUGUUAUCACGGGAGACACACGGCGGGUGCUAACGUCCGUCGUGAAGAGGGAAACAACCCAGACCGCCAGCUAAGGUCCCAAAGUCAUGGUUAAGUGGGAAACGAUGUGGGAAGGCCCAGACAGCCAGGAUGUUGGCUUAGAAGCAGCCAUCAUUUAAAGAAAGCGUAAUAGCUCACUGGUCGAGUCGGCCUGCGCGGAAGAUGUAACGGGGCUAAACCAUGCACCGAAGCUGCGGCAG